This 550-nucleotide ribosomal RNA is filed under the name uncultured Glomeromycotina. Its description in RNAcentral is "SSU rRNA". It matches the Rfam family "Eukaryotic small subunit ribosomal RNA", at positions 550 to 1109 of the family's 1831-position model. Lineage: Eukaryota; Fungi; Glomeromycota. The record is from RNAcentral.
UKGGRGGGCRAAGUCUGGUGCCAGCAGCCGCGGUAAUUCCAGCUCCAAUAGCGUAUAUUAAAGUUGUUGCAGUUAAAAAGCUYGUAGUUGAACUUCGGGAUCAAUGGAUCGGUCAUGCCGUUGGUAUGUACUGGUCACAUUGGUUCUCACCUUCUAAGGAACCAUGAUGUCAUUCAUUUGAUGUUGUGGGGAAUUAGGACUGUUACCUUGAAAAAAUUAGAGUGUUUAAAGCAGGCUAACGCUUGAAUACAUUAGCAUGGAAUAAUGAAAUAGGACAUCGCAUUCUAUUUUGKUGGUUUCUAGGAUCGAUGUAAUGAUUAAUAGGGAUAGUUGGGGGCAUUAGUAUUCAAUUGUCAGAGGUGAAAUUCUUGGAUUUAUUGAAGACUAACUAYUGCGAAAGCAUUUGCCAAGGAUKUUUUCAUUAAUCAAGAACGAAAGUUAGGGGAUCGAAGACGAUCAGAUACCGUYGUAGUCUUAACCAUAAACUAUGCCGACUAGGGAUCGGAUGAUGUUGAUUUUUUAAUGACUCAUUCGGCGCCUUWCGGGAAAC